UACGUAGGGGGCUAGCGUUGUCCGGAAUCAUUGGGCGUAAAGCACGCGUAGGCGGCCCGGUAAGUCCGCUGUAAAAGUCCAGGGCUCAACCCUGGAACGCCGGUGGAUACUGUCGGGCUAGAGUCCGGAAGAGGCGAGUGGAAUUCCUGGUGUAGCGGUGGAAUGCGCAGAUAUCAGGAGGAACACCGAUGGCGAAGGCAGCUCGCUGGGACGGUACUGACGCUGAGGCGCGAAAGCGUGGGGAGCGAACAGG
Molecule: ribosomal RNA, 253 nt
Filed under: uncultured bacterium
Lineage: Bacteria
Description: partial 16S ribosomal RNA
Rfam family: Bacterial small subunit ribosomal RNA
Source: RNAcentral